UACAGAGGUCCCAAGCGUUGUUCGGAUUCAUUGGGCGUAAAGGGUGCGUAGGCGGCGCGGUAAGUCGGGUGUGAAAUCUCGGGGCUUAACUCCGAAACUGCAUUCGAUACUCCGGAGCUGGAGUCCUGGAGAGGAAGGCGGAAUUCUCGGUGUAGAGGUGAAAUUCGUAGAUAUCGAGAGGAACACCGGUGGCGAAGGCGGCCUUCUGGACAGUGACUGACGCUGAGACGCGAAAGCGUGGGGAGCAAACAGG
This 253-nucleotide ribosomal RNA is filed under the name uncultured bacterium. Its description in RNAcentral is "partial 16S ribosomal RNA". It matches the Rfam family "Bacterial small subunit ribosomal RNA", at positions 524 to 776 of the family's 1533-position model. The record is from RNAcentral.